This 414-nucleotide ribosomal RNA is filed under the name uncultured microorganism. Its description in RNAcentral is "bacterial SSU rRNA". It matches the Rfam family "Archaeal small subunit ribosomal RNA", at positions 459 to 872 of the family's 1478-position model. The record is from RNAcentral.
CAGCCGCCGCGGUAAUACCGGCGGCCCGAGUGGCGGUCACUAUUAUUGGGCUUAAAACGUCCGUAGCCGGGUUGGGAAGUCCUCCGGGAAAUCUGGCCGCUUAACGGUCAGAAUGCCGGAGGAUACUCCCAGCCUAGGGAGCGGGAGAGGCCGAGGGGAUUCCCGGAGUAGGGGGGAAAUCCUAUAAUCCCGGGAGGACCACCUGUGGCGAAGGCGCUCGGCUGGAACGCGUCCGACGGUGAGGGACGAAGGCCAGGGGGGCAAACCGGAUUAGAUACCCGGGUAGUCCUGGCUGUAAACGAUGCGGACUUUGUGUCGGACAAGCUAUGAGCUUGUCCGGUGCCGGAGGGAAACCGUUAAGUCCGCCGCCUGGGGAGUACGGCCGCAAGGCUGAAACUUAAAGGAAUUGGCGGG